UUCUAGCCCUGAUGGGAGCGGCAUCCUGUGGCUCUGGGGUUCAGAUCCACAGAUAUAGCGGACAGCAGGAUUAAGC
This 76-nucleotide small RNA is filed under the name Flavobacterium succinicans. RNAcentral describes it as "Flavo-1 RNA". It matches the Rfam family "Flavo-1 RNA". The record is from RNAcentral. Lineage: Bacteria; Pseudomonadati; Bacteroidota; Flavobacteriia; Flavobacteriales; Flavobacteriaceae.